GAUUGCUUCAGGUCACUGGUGUUCAGACGCGAGGUCUUCGGAUCUAGGUAAAAGACUAGAAGAGGUAGAAGAGCGGAGAGAGGGGGAGAUGGAAAGGGUAAACGAGAGGCUGUUAGAAUUAGAAAAGAAGAGUGCAGAAGGAGGGGGAGAAAGGCAGGUACAGGGGAAUGCGGAAGUGGCGCAGGUAGCAAUAGAUAGAUUGAAAGAGAUGGAGUGGGCCAUAGAGAGGAAAGGAAGAGAAGAAAGAAGGGGAAAUAUAGUAGUGAGAGGAGCGAGACUUGAGAAGGGAAGAGAAAAGGAAGAGUUGAAAAAGAUUUUGCAGCUGAUAGGGGUAGAGGUCGAGGUAAAGGAUAUGUGGGAGGUUGGCGUGAAAAAGGGGGGAGAAAAGGGGAUAUGGAUAGCAAGACUAGGAAAUAGGGAGC
This is a long non-coding RNA of Neodiprion fabricii, 422 nucleotides long. RefSeq lists it as uncharacterized. The transcript is spliced from 5 exons. Lineage: Eukaryota; Metazoa; Arthropoda; Insecta; Hymenoptera; Diprionidae. The record is from RefSeq and is a predicted model, not a curated record.